GACGUAGGGUGCGAGCGUUAAUCGGAAUUACUGGGCGUAAAGCGUGCGCAGGCGGUUCGUUGUGUCUGAUGUGAAAGCCCCGGGCUCAACCUGGGAAUGGCAUUGGAAACUGGCGAGCUAGAGUGUGGCAGAGGGGGGUGGAAUUCCGCGUGUAGCAGUGAAAUGCGUAGAGAUGCGGAGGAACACCGAUGGCGAAGGCAGCCCCCUGGGCUAGCACUGACGCUCAGGCACGAAAGCGUGGGGAGCAAACAGG
Molecule: ribosomal RNA, 253 nt
Filed under: uncultured bacterium
Lineage: Bacteria
Description: partial 16S ribosomal RNA
Rfam family: Bacterial small subunit ribosomal RNA
Source: RNAcentral